Long non-coding RNA from Papaver somniferum (opium poppy), 266 nucleotides. RefSeq lists it as uncharacterized. The transcript has 3 exons. The record is from RefSeq and is a predicted model, not a curated record. Lineage: Eukaryota; Viridiplantae; Streptophyta; Magnoliopsida; Ranunculales; Papaveraceae.
UAAUCAGAGUUGGUUUAGGAAAACUAAGAAGAGCUAUUCAGUUUCAGUGACCUUGCUUCUUCUUCUAUCGUCAUAGACUCAUAGACAAGGCUUUCAGCCAUUCGGAGGUAAAACAUCCACAAACUUGCAGGCUUGCAGCGACUCGCUGUUGGUCGCUUUAUAUGAUAUUAGGCUUUAGUAUAGUACGCAAUACUCAAUAGUAAUGCACUCUUUUAUCUUUUGAGCUUUGAACAAUUGAACUCUGUUCCUUUUUAUUGUUAGCUUUA